This 2496-nucleotide ribosomal RNA is filed under the name Triticum aestivum (bread wheat). RNAcentral's name for it is "partial small subunit ribosomal RNA". The record is from RNAcentral. Lineage: Eukaryota; Viridiplantae; Streptophyta; Magnoliopsida; Poales; Poaceae.
AUGGAUCCCCUUCCCAUAUACACAAUCAUCUGCCUUGUUUGUUGGUCAUUUUGUUUAUUGCCAUUUUAUGCAUCAUCCAGCAGCCGCCUUCUUCCCGACAAGCCGCUUUCCGCUGGUAGCACCAUCACCUCCGACGAUGGCACUUUUGCCCUUGGAUUCUUCUCCCUGUCCAGCUCCAGCACAAAAUAUUACUACGUCGGCAUAUGGUACAGGAAUAUACCCGAAGACAACAUUGUGUGGGUUGCCAACCGUGCUAUGCCGAUAACUGAUCCUUCUUCUGCAACGCUCGCCUUCACAAGCGGAUCCGAUCUCGCCUUGUCAGACACCAGUGGCCAGCUUCUCUGGACGACAAACAUCAGCGCUGCAAGGAAUUCAUCGUCAGAGGCAACUGGUGGAGAAGCCACGCUUGAUAACAAUGGGAAUUUUAUUCUUCGGUCAUCAAAUGGCACCAUCUUAUGGCAAAGCUUCGAUUACCCGACCGACACUCUCCUUCCAGGUAUGAACCUCAGGAUCACCCACAAGACGCAUGCACUACAACAGCUCAUCUCUUGGAGAAACCCCCAAGACCCAUCCCCGGGCAACUUCUCAUAUGGUGCAGACCCUGAUGAGUUUCGGCAGCGUAUUACAUGGAACGGAUCAGCACCCUACCGGCGAAGUCUGGUAUGGAAUAACAAUUUGGUAGUAGGGAAGUAUGUUGAGAGUAUCAAGUCCACAAUUUACUAUACACUGCAAAUUAUUGGUGAUGAGAUCUACGCUUCCUUUGGACUACCAGUACCUAGUGUCUCACUAGUGCUAAUGAAGAUUGACUACUCAGGCAGGAUAAAGACACGAAUCUGGAAUAGCAACAGCUCCAAAUGGACUGACCAGUAUUCAGGACCUAACCAGGAAUGCAACAAAUUUGGUUACUGUGGUCCAUUUGGUUACUGUGACAACACACAGCCUAUUGUGACAUGCAAGUGUCUUGAUGGCUUUGAGCCAAACAACAAACAAGACUGGACGACCCGCAGGUUUUCACAGGGAUGCCACCGGAUGGAAGCACUAAGAUGUGGUCAAGGGGAUGGCUUCUUAAAUAUGUCAACCAUGAAGAUUCCCGACCAGUUCUUGUAUGUCAAGAAUAAAAGCUUAGAUGAAUGCAUAGCAGAAUGCACAAGCAACUGCUCAUGUACGGCGUAUGCUUACACCACUAUGAGAACUAAUGCUAUCGAUGAGGAUGAUACUAGGUGCCUAUUAUGGAUAGGAGAUUUGAUUGACACGGAGAAGUUCAUUGGACAAGGGGAAAACCUCUAUAUCCGAGUUAGUGGAUUGAGUGACAAAAAGCGGAAGAGCAAUGUUUUAAAAAUUACACUGCCAGUCGUUUCAAGUUUGCUCAUAAUCAUAUGCGUGUGCCUUGUUCGGAUCUGCAGCUUUGGAGGCAAACAAAGAAACAAGAAAAUUUGGAAGAAGCUGAUGUCGGGAACUUCAAGCACUUCUAUUGAACUUCGUGAUGGAAACUUAAAGUAUCCUUUUAUUAACUUCAAAGAAAUUGUACUUGCAACAAACAAUUUUUCUAACUCCAACAUGCUUGGACAUGGAGGUUUUGGCAAUGUUUACAAGGCGACAUUAGAAGAUGGUACAGAACUUGCUGUGAAAAGGCUUAGUAAGGGUUCUGGACAGGGGGAACUGGAGUUCAGAAAUGAAGUAAUACUCAUUGCGAAGUUGCAGCACAAAAACUUGGUUAGACUUCUCGGUUUCUGCAUCCACGGAGAUGAGAAACUAUUGAUAUAUGAAUACUUACCUAACAAAAGUCUGGACGCCAUGCUUUUUGAUGCCACAAGAAAAUCAAUGCUUGAUUGGCCAAUAAGAUUCGAGAUAACCAAAGGGGUAGCUAGAGGACUUCUUUAUCUUCAUCAAGAUUCAAGAUUGAAGAUAAUUCACAGGGAUCUCAAAGCAAGCAACAUAUUACUAGAUGGCGAAAUGAGCCCUAAGAUAUCUGAUUUUGGUAUGGCAAGGAUAUUUGGCGGCAAUCAGCAGCAAGAAAAUACCGACCGCGUUGUUGGCACAUACGGUUACAUGCCACCUGAAUAUGUUUUGAAAGGAGUGUUUUCUGUCAAGUCUGAUGUAUAUAGCUUUGGAGUUUUACUACUGGAGAUUGUGAGUGGCUCAAAGAUCAGCUCUGUGCACCUAAAAGCAGACUUCCCCAGCAUUAUAGCCUAUGCAUGGAGCUUAUGGAAGGAUGGGAACACAAAGGAUUUUGUUGACUCAUCGAUUGUGGACAGCUGCUCACUUAAUGAAACUAUACGGUGCGUCCAUAUCGGUCUCUUGUGUGUUCAAGGCAGCCCAAAUGCGCGGCCACUCGUGUCGUCAAUCAUGUCCUUUCUGGAGAAUGGAGAUAUAUCACUUCCCCCUCCAAAAGAGCCUGUGUAUUUUGCAGAAGAUAACUAUGGUACUGACGGAGCAGCAGAAAAUGCUGUGAAUUCUAAAAAUAACAUGAGCGUUACAGCAAUAGAGGGACGCUAG